Molecule: ribosomal RNA, 448 nt
Filed under: uncultured bacterium
Lineage: Bacteria
Description: bacterial SSU rRNA
Rfam family: Bacterial small subunit ribosomal RNA
Source: RNAcentral
UCCAGACUCCUACGGGAGGCAGCAGUGGGGAAUAUUGGGCAAUGGGCGCAAGCCUGACCCAGCAACGCCGCGUGAAGGAAGAAGGCUUUCGGGUUGUAAACUUCUUUUGUCAGGGACGAAGCAAGUGACGGUACCUGACGAAUAAGCCACGGCUAACUACGUGCCAGCAGCCGCGGUAAUACGUAGGUGGCAAGCGUUAUCCGGAUUUACUGGGUGUAAAGGGCGUGUAGGCGGGAAUGCAAGUCAGAUGUGAAAACCACGGGCUCAACCCGUGGCCUGCAUUUGAAACUGUAGUUCUUGAGUACUGGAGAGGCAGACGGAAUUCCUUGUGUAGCGGUGAAAUGCGUAGAUAUUAGGAGGAACGCCAGUGGCGAAGGCGGUCUGCUGGGCAGCAACUGACGCUGAGGCGCGAAAGCGUGGGGAGCAAACAGGAUUAGAUACCCCUGUA